UUCUUAUCAUGAGAGGUGGAGGGAUUGGCCCUACGAAACCUCGGCAGCGGGCUCGCAAUCGGAGCACUGUGCCAAAUCCAACAAGCUUUUAGCUUGAGAGAUAAGAA
Molecule: non-coding RNA, 107 nt
Filed under: Planococcus glaciei
Lineage: Bacteria; Bacillati; Bacillota; Bacilli; Caryophanales; Caryophanaceae
Description: Planomicrobium glaciei SAM-I sequence
Rfam family: SAM riboswitch aptamer (S box leader)
About the family: The SAM riboswitch is found upstream of a number of genes which code for proteins involved in methionine or cysteine biosynthesis in Gram-positive bacteria. The SAM riboswitch acts at the level of transcription termination control.
Source: RNAcentral